AUACGGAGGGUGCAAGCGUUAAUCGGAAUUACUGGGCGUAAAGCGCGCGUAGGCGGAUGAUUAAGUUGGAUGUGAAAGCCCAGGGCUCAACCUUGGAACUGCAUUCAAUACUGGUCAUCUAGAGUACAGUAGAGGAGGGUAGAAUUUCUUGUGUAGCAGUGAAAUGCGUAGAUAUAAGAAGGAAUACCAGUGGCGAAGGCGGCCCUCUGGACUGAUACUGACGCUGAGGUGCGAAAGCGUGGGGAGCAAACGGGAUUAGAAACCCCAGUAGUCC
Molecule: ribosomal RNA, 274 nt
Filed under: uncultured bacterium
Lineage: Bacteria
Description: partial 16S ribosomal RNA
Rfam family: Bacterial small subunit ribosomal RNA
Source: RNAcentral